AUUGAACGCUGGCGGAAUGCUUUACACAUGCAAGUCGAACGGCAGCACGGACUUCGGUCUGGUGGCGAGUGGCGAGCGGGUGAGUAAUGUAUCGGAACGUGCCCAGUCGUGGGGGAUAACGUAGUGAAAAUUACGCUAAUACUGCAAACGAUCUAUGGAUGAAAGCGGGGGAUCGCAAGACCUCGCGCGAUUGGAGCGGCCGAUAUCAGAUUAGGUAGUUGGUGGGGUAAAGGCGCACCAAGCCAACGAUCUGUAGCUGGGCUGAGACGACGAGCGGCCACACUGGAACUGAGACACGGUCCAGACUCCUACGGGAGGCAGCAGUGGGGAAUUUUGGACAAUGGGCGAAAGCCUGAUCCAGCCAUUCCGCGUGAAGGAUGAAGGCCCUCGGGUUGUAAACUGCUUUUGUACAGAACGAAAAAGUUUCUACUAAUACUAGGAGCUCAUGACGGUACUGUAAGAAUAAGCACCGGCUAACUACGUGCCAGCCGCCGCCGUAA
Molecule: ribosomal RNA, 500 nt
Filed under: uncultured bacterium
Lineage: Bacteria
Description: partial 16S ribosomal RNA
Rfam family: Bacterial small subunit ribosomal RNA
Source: RNAcentral